RNAcentral lists this long non-coding RNA (145 nucleotides) under Rhinopithecus roxellana (golden snub-nosed monkey). RNAcentral describes it as "Pvt1 onco conserved region 1 (ENSRROG00000009497.1)". It matches the Rfam family "Pvt1 oncogene conserved region 1", at positions 28 to 178 of the family's 178-position model. Lineage: Eukaryota; Metazoa; Chordata; Mammalia; Primates; Cercopithecidae. The record is from RNAcentral.
UCAGUGCCCGGCGCUGCCGGGAAGCGGGCAGAGGAGCGAGCAAGGAUGUGCCUCGGGACCCCCCGCACCUUCCCGUGGAUUUCCUUGCGGAAAGGAUGUUGACGGUCCCUGUGACCUGUGGAGACACGGCCAGAUCUGCCCUCCA